RNAcentral lists this ribosomal RNA (497 nucleotides) under uncultured bacterium. RNAcentral's name for it is "partial 16S ribosomal RNA". It matches the Rfam family "Bacterial small subunit ribosomal RNA", at positions 28 to 507 of the family's 1533-position model. The record is from RNAcentral.
GAUGAACGCUGGCGGCGUGCCCAAUACAUGCAAGUCGAGCGAACAGACGAGGAGCUUGCUCCUCUGACGUUAGCGGCGGACGGGUGAGUAACACGUGGAUAACCUACCUAUAAGACUGGGAUAACUUCGGGAAACCGGAGCUAAUACCGGAUAAUAUAUUGAACCGCAUGGUUCAAUAGUGAAAGACGGUUUUGCUGUCACUUAUAGAUGGAUCCGCGCCGCAUUAGCUAGUUGGUAAGGUAACGGCUUACCAAGGCGACGAUGCGUAGCCGACCUGAGAGGGUGAUCGGCCACACUGGAACUGAGACACGGUCCAGACUCCUACGGGAGGCAACAGUAGGGAAUCUUCCGCAAUGGGCGAAAGCCUGACGGAGCAACGCCGCGUGAGUGAUGAAGGUCUUCGGAUCGUAAAACUCUGUUAUUAGGGAAGAACAAAUGUGUAAGUAACUAUGCACGUCUUGACGGUACCUAAUCAGAAAGCCACGGCUAACUACGUG